This 308-nucleotide ribosomal RNA is filed under the name uncultured Synergistaceae bacterium. Its description in RNAcentral is "bacterial SSU rRNA". It matches the Rfam family "Bacterial small subunit ribosomal RNA", at positions 1077 to 1382 of the family's 1533-position model. The record is from RNAcentral. Lineage: Bacteria; Thermotogati; Synergistota; Synergistia; Synergistales; Synergistaceae.
GGGUUAAGUCCCGCAACGAACGCAACCCCUCGCUGCCAGUUGCCAACGGGUGAAGCCGGGCACUCUGGCGGGACUGCCAUCGACAAGAUGGAGGAAGGUGGGGAGUGACGUCAAGUCAUCAUGGCCCUUAUGUCCAGGGCGACACACGUGCUACAAUGGCCGGCACAGCGGGAAGCGAGGCAGUGAUGCCAAGCGGAUCCCUUAAAGCCGGUCUCAGUUCGGAUUGAAGUCUGCAACUCGACUUCAUGAAGCUGGAAUCGCUAGUAAUCGCGGAUCAGCAUGCCGGGGUGAAUACGUUCCCGGGCCUU